CUACAGUCCAUGGGGUCGCAAAGAGUCAGACACGACUGAGCGACUUCGCUUCCUACAGGGUGUGCUUGUGCCUAUUUCCUUAGUAGGAGGUGGGGCCAGAGGUGGAGGGGUUAGAUCCAGGGCUAGAGGUGAGCUGGGGCUUCUUCUCUGCUUAGUGGCCAGCAUCACUCCAUCAAGGGCAGGGUUGGGUCCCUAACUGCUGGAGCAGAAGCCCUGAGAUUUGGGUCUGAGCUGGUUCUCUUCUCUGCUUUCCUAGCACUGGCACCUUCGGCCCAGAGGAGACCAGUACUGAGCAAGAAGUUUUGGAUUAUGUCAUGUUUAUUAUCCAGAGUCUUGAAUUCUUCCAUGUAUCAAUCUCCGAACAGAUGAGACAAAGCCUGCUGCUGCUGCUGCUGCUAAGUUGCUUCAGUUGUGUCCGACUCUGU
RNAcentral lists this long non-coding RNA (425 nucleotides) under Capra hircus (goat). RNAcentral describes it as "lncRNA (ENSCHIG00010015000.1)". The record is from RNAcentral. Lineage: Eukaryota; Metazoa; Chordata; Mammalia; Artiodactyla; Bovidae.